Molecule: long non-coding RNA, 609 nt
Filed under: Arabidopsis lyrata
Lineage: Eukaryota; Viridiplantae; Streptophyta; Magnoliopsida; Brassicales; Brassicaceae
Description: long non-coding RNA (ALYR_LNC001624)
Source: RNAcentral
GAAAAUUUCCUUUCUUUGGUGGAGGUCCUUGUGGUUGUUAUCUUGCUCUAUUGCGUGGUCUCGUUCAUGCGAGCAACGUUCUUUGAGAUGGGUAGGUCUUGCUCCUUGUCUUGGCAUUUUCGAAUCUGGUGAGAUCGGAUUGCUUUUAUGAUUUUUAUCUAGGCGCUCCUUGACGCACCAUCGUCUUUGCCGCAUCCGGAAGUGCUUUAUGAGGUUCAGUUUUGGCCUUUACUUGCCCAGUUAUGAAGUCUUGGUUACUGGGUUUCGAGAGAUCAGCUCUCAUCGUGAUAGGAGGAGGCAGAAGUUAUCGAUGGGUUGGCCGUGGGCAGCAUUGGUUUUUCUCAUUCGCAGGUUCCUCAUUAGAAAAAGUGGUUUUUUGUGCUUGGGUUGAGUGUUUUUGUUCGGGUUUAAGUUUGUUUGCCUCUUUUCUUAGGUUUUGGUUUCGAUUCCUUUCGAUUUCGGUUUAAAAAUUUCAGUCUUGUAUUGUGUUCAUGUUUCUCUUGUUUAGGGCUUAGACUCCGGAGAAUUAUCGUUUUCUUCCGGCUUAGUUUCUGGGGACUUUUCUGUUGUCCGCUGGCUUAGUUUCCCUUGUUUGGGCGUUGUAUUUUA